Long non-coding RNA from Apis laboriosa (Himalayan honeybee), 698 nucleotides. RefSeq lists it as uncharacterized. The transcript has 3 exons. The record is from RefSeq and is a predicted model, not a curated record. NCBI's taxonomy places the organism in Eukaryota, Metazoa, Arthropoda, Insecta, Hymenoptera, Apidae.
CGAAGAGCGGCUACGGGAUGUAAACAACAACCCAGCUCAGCGAAAAUACUGACUAGCCUUAAGGCUCGACCUGAAGGCCAUUUAAGUCACCUCGAGACAUCGAAACAGAUCGAGAUAAAUAUUGCAUGAUUCUAAAAAUUCGUCGUAUUUUGGAACAUUUUGCGAUAUUGAAUCGAUAUUGUGGUCAGAAAGAAAUAGGGGGUAAAGGUGGUGUACCCAAGCAUGAAACGUUCAGGGGAUCGUGCCCUCCUAGAGAGUACAGCCACGAGGACACCGCAGGGGAUACCAUCCCUUAUAAACCGGAAACGGAUGUAGAAGUGGAUAUUAGACAGGUGGUUCAGAAUUUCGCAUUGGACAAGGCUGAUGGUUAAAUUAGCGCAUGAUUUCGACAGCUCGCUUGAUUACACUCAUAAAACCGGAUAUUCCAAGGAUUGCAAAUCGAUUAAAACUGCAAGAUGAAUCGAGAUAUAAAUCGAUUUCACACUCCCGCUGAGUAUAAAUUAAUAGACAUUUACAGGGGUUGGUUAUAUUUUGAAUGAAUACCAAGAUGUUUCGAGGGAUACCGAUUACCAGGUGUUAGACAUGGGUCCCUGAAUACAAGGAUAUGCAUAGAAAAUCGAUUAGAUACGUGUUUUGAAAAAUGAUGUGCUAUUAUAAAAAAUCAAUUUGUUUUUUAAAUAUAUAGAAAUUUUUUUACA